RNAcentral lists this ribosomal RNA (242 nucleotides) under uncultured bacterium. RNAcentral describes it as "partial 16S ribosomal RNA". It matches the Rfam family "Bacterial small subunit ribosomal RNA", at positions 796 to 1041 of the family's 1533-position model. The record is from RNAcentral.
CAUGCCGUAAACGUUGGGUGCUAGACGUGGGGGCCUUUCCACGGUUUCCGUGUCGUAGCUAACGCAUUAAGCACCCCGCCUGGGGAGUACGGCCGCAAGGCUAAAACUCAAAGGAAUUGACGGGGGCCCGCACAAGCGGCGGAGCAUGCGGAUUAAUUCGAUGCAACGCGAAGAACCUUACCAGAACUUGACAUGGCGGAUAAUGCUGCAGAAAUGCAGAGAUAAUACCCGCACACAGGUGG